RNAcentral lists this transfer RNA (76 nucleotides) under Alphaproteobacteria bacterium RIFCSPHIGHO2_12_FULL_63_12. RNAcentral's name for it is "tRNA-Val". It matches the Rfam family "tRNA". From Rfam's summary of the family: Transfer RNA (tRNA) molecules are approximately 80 nucleotides in length. Their secondary structure includes four short double-helical elements and three loops (D, anti-codon, and T loops). Further hydrogen bonds mediate the characteristic L-shaped molecular structure. tRNAs have two regions of fundamental functional importance: the anti-codon, which is responsible for specific mRNA codon recognition, and the 3' end, to which the tRNAs corresponding amino acid is attached (by aminoacyl-tRNA synthetases). tRNAs cope with the degeneracy of the genetic code in two manners: having more than one tRNA (with a specific anti-codon) for a particular amino acid; and 'wobble' base-pairing, i.e. permitting non-standard base-pairing at the 3rd anti-codon position. The record is from RNAcentral. RNAcentral also lists the same sequence under 1 other name. Lineage: Bacteria; Pseudomonadati; Pseudomonadota; Alphaproteobacteria.
GGGCGGUUAGCUCAGCUGGUAGAGCGCCUGGUUUACACCCAGUAGGUCGGCGGUUCGAACCCGUCACCGCCCACCA